Phalacrocorax carbo (great cormorant) is the source of this 1343-nucleotide non-coding RNA. The record is from RefSeq and is a predicted model, not a curated record. Lineage: Eukaryota; Metazoa; Chordata; Aves; Suliformes; Phalacrocoracidae.
CCAUAUCUUCCAUGUGUUCAAUGUAGCAUCCUAGCCCCAUCAGUGUUAUGAAUGCUUCAUUCCAGGCACAAGCUCAAACUGAAAAUAAAUUAUUCAGGCUGAAAGUCAAAGAAGAGUAUGUUUCAGAAGUUGUCAGAAUUUGAUUGCUUGUUGAUGCCUUUAUAGAGGUAGUGUUCUGGGGGACAGAGUUUUCACACGAAUACUCUCUCCUUCAGUGUGCUGGAGGCUUUAAUAGCCCACCUUCUUCCAGGUGAAAAUCUGGUUUUGCCUUCUGUUUUUCUGGUUUCUGUAGGUAGUAAAGAAAAGUAAACAGAAAGACCGAUACAAAAGAGAAAUGAGAGAAAAACCACAGAUCUCAGCACAAGGAAAAUUUAUGGAUUUUAAAAUGAAGCUCCAGGCUGACUUUCCACAACUUAAAAGGCUGAGAUGAAAAUCAAGAGAUUGCUCAGCAAACACCUUGCACCAGGUUCAGCUAAGGCACCUGCAGGGAGCAGUGUGAUUCUGGAGUCCAACCGAACAAUUGUGGUGGUUUCUCUCGUUUCAUCUCAUUGAUGUUGCUACUUUCAAUGUUUCAUCAGGGACAGGAGAGAUCCCUGAUGAGCAGGGAGAAGCAGAGUAACUCCAGAGGUCCUUAAAGAAAUCAUUCAGAUCUGUAUGCUGACCUGAGUUCAUUCUGGAUUUGGCUUCCCUGUCUGAAUCCCCUAGGCACGCUCCUAGUUUCCUCUGGUGCAUUCAUCUUCCAGUGACUGUCUUGGUAAAAGAACCAUAUAUAACCUGUCAAAUAAUCUAAUGGAGCAGAACAUGAGCAUUGUCUGUGGCAUGUUUAGCUUUAACAGACUGUGCUGAGCCUUUGUAUGUUAAUAUACAGAUAAUGUUGUCAGUCAAGUUCUGUGCAUUUUCCCUAACAGUGUGAAGUUAACACUGAGAUUAGGUGUUACUACAAAGCCUCAAAAACUGGGCUGAGGUUUUUGCAAGGAGAUUUAUGUACCUAACUCGUAUUGAAUUUUUGUUGGCUGCAGGGACCUAAGUUCCUUAAACGUUUCAGUGCUAAAGGAUUACCCUUCCUCUUCUUUGUAUUUUACUCCAGGCAGAACAGAUACAGGCUUCUUACAAAGAAAUAGUUGUUUUUAGUUUUAAGCAAAUCAAACCUAAGAUAUGAAUAAGCCUAUUUUGGAAGGGUUUGAAAAAUUAUACAGAAUUGCUAUUAGGAUAAACUCCUUACAUACUGGAGACAAGCUGUAAUGUUUUGUGCUAUUUUAGUGACUUUUCCUUGAAAGUUGCCUACUUGUAUCUUUUUAUUUUAAAUAAUUUCUAGGAUUCAGAUUGGUUAAUGUACCAUUAAA